RNAcentral lists this ribosomal RNA (148 nucleotides) under Lonchocarpus acuminatus. Its description in RNAcentral is "partial 18S ribosomal RNA". It matches the Rfam family "Eukaryotic small subunit ribosomal RNA". Lineage: Eukaryota; Viridiplantae; Streptophyta; Magnoliopsida; Fabales; Fabaceae. The record is from RNAcentral.
AAUUCAUGGUCCGGUGAAGUGUUCGAAUUACAGUGAUGUGGGCAAUUUGCUGCCCGCAACAUUAUGAGAAGUCCACUGAACCUUAUCAUUUAGAGAAAGGAGAAAUCGUAAUAAGGUUUUCGUAGGUGAACCUGYGGAAAGAUCAUUG